Molecule: ribosomal RNA, 416 nt
Filed under: Halamphora pellucida
Lineage: Eukaryota; Bacillariophyta; Bacillariophyceae; Naviculales; Amphipleuraceae
Description: eukaryotic LSU rRNA
Rfam family: Eukaryotic large subunit ribosomal RNA
Source: RNAcentral
AUUGUCUCAGUAAGGGCGACUGAAGCGACAUUAGCCCCCAUGUGAAUCAGCGGCUGAAUUGUGGUUGAUUGUGUAAUAGAUCAGGUCAAGUCCGUUGGAACGCGGCAGCUGAGAGGGUGAGACUCCCGUACGCCUUGUUUUCUUACUGAAUAUUAUGUGGAGUCGAGUUGUUUGGGAUUGCAGCUCCAAGUGGGUGGUAAAUUCCACCGAAGGCUAAAUACUGGUGGGAGACCGAUAGCGUACAAGUACCGUGAGGGAAAGAUGCAAAGACACGCGAAAGCGUUGUUAAAGAGUACCUGAACUUGCUGAAACGGAAGCGAAGGAAACCAGUGCCAGCCCUGUCAUACUUUCCGAUCCGCUUGCGGUUUGGACGCUGUGUCGGGUGUUGUUCCGUUUGGUUGUGCGUUGUGGCAACG